UACGUAGGGGGCAAGCGUUGUCCGGAUUUAUUGGGCGUAAAGAGCGUGUAGGCGGCCUGAAAGGUCAGCUGUGAAAACUCGAGGCUCAACCUCGAGACGUCGGUUGAAACCAUCUGGCUAGAGUCCGGAAGAGGAGUGUGGAAUUCCCGGUGUAGCGGCGAAAUGCGCAGAUAUCGGGAAGAACACCCGUGGCGAAGGUGGCACUCUGGGACGGUACUGACGCUGAGACGCGAAAGCGUGGGGAGCGAACAGG
This 253-nucleotide ribosomal RNA is filed under the name uncultured bacterium. RNAcentral's name for it is "partial 16S ribosomal RNA". It matches the Rfam family "Bacterial small subunit ribosomal RNA", at positions 524 to 776 of the family's 1533-position model. The record is from RNAcentral.